UCAAAAUACAUUUAAAAAAUCAACUUAAUCGCAAAAAUGUGUAAGAAAUACGAGACAGUUACCAUAAAGCCAUCUAAAACUUUACUGGUACUUUACUCAGACUCAGACGCCUAUAUUCUACCGAUUACUACCAAUGCUCACUCCUUGAUUUGCUAACAAAUAUUGUGUAUGGAGAGUAAAAUAUCUUACACAAAAUAUUUGUCUGACAUUUUCCUCUUUGUGACGACACGAUUUCAGUGUUACAAGCAGCACAUCAAACAACAGCCGAUUCCGCACGUUGGCAUGACGUAAGGGUGCCGGAGAGCUGCGGGUCUGGCUGGGACUGCGGAGCUCAUUUUGCGGGUGAAAGACAUGGAGAGCGAGCCGAGACCCCCGCCCACCCUAAUGAGCCUCGCCACCCAGCUAAUCAACAUAGUCUCUCUGAUUCUCAGCAGCAGAGAGGUCCUCUACAGCAAUGUGAUCAGAAAGACAGAGCAGUAUGGAGACAGGGUCUGCCAGUGGGCACAAGGCCUUGUGGGUCCACCCAGUAACCAGAAGUCACCUGUCUUCUGCUGGUGUGAGUCUCACCCAGCCACUCCUCCUCUCCCUGUGCCCAGGCAGGGCUGGCCCAAGCCUUGCAGCUCCAAUAAUGAAGAAUCGCCUCAAGGUGGCAGGAUCUUACCAGAUCCAUCUUUGUUUGCUGUUGCGAAGUCCGUGCUGAAGGUCAUGUGGCUUGUUGUAUGGGCAACUGGUCCCCUACUGUACCGUACAGUCUUUCACAAGAUAACAAGCCCCUUGGUGCCUCUGAAAACCUGCUGGCACAAUCUGCUACAGAGGGUGAUCAUUGUAGCUGCCGUUUUAAUACUGGUGAUAUGGAAACUCACAAGCAUGACAGGACGAAUGUGUAUGAUUAUACUGAAAGAAAAGGGUAUUUUUCAGCUACGGCUGGUGGCAGUCCCAUUGAACCUGAUGAGGGUAGUGAUAAACACAGCAGACCACGUUUUCGUAAUUAUAGUCACUGCAGGGCUCAGAGUCUGCAUGCUCUUGUUCUUGCUGGUGUCCACUGUGCUUCAUGCAUGCCUGAAGGAGUACUGCACAGAUAGUGGUAGAGAGAGCAGUCAGGAAAGGUCAGCGCUAUGACUGCAGGAGGAAGAUUCAGCACAAGAAAUAAUUCUGUCUCUUGGUGUGCCACUGCUGACAUAUAAACAAAAUAUUGUCUCCUCUUUGUUGCUUGGUUGUUUCCUUCAUUUUGUAUUCAUGAUAGAGUGUGGCCUUCUUAUUUAACCAAAUAAGCAUCACACUGUAUGUUUGAAGACGUCUGAAUCGUCUUGUGCUGCCCUUCAUGAUUACGGUUAUUCUCUAAAAGCUCAGUUAAACAAAAACAUCAAUGAGAAAGUGUGAACAUUACCUGCACUUUAAGCACUCUUCAGCCAUAUCUUUAUAGAGAUGCUUAAAAUGACCUAGGCCUUCAUGCCUUGUAUUUUGUAUGGAUAGAAUACAAGGUUUGAAUGACAAAAGAUGAAAAUACUGUGUAACUAAAUUUAAAACACUUAGAUAAGGGAAGAAAACAGCAGCAG
Molecule: long non-coding RNA, 1556 nt
Organism: Lepisosteus oculatus (spotted gar)
Lineage: Eukaryota; Metazoa; Chordata; Actinopteri; Semionotiformes; Lepisosteidae
Source: Ensembl